RNAcentral lists this ribosomal RNA (429 nucleotides) under Actinomycetes bacterium. Its description in RNAcentral is "Actinobacteria bacterium partial 16S ribosomal RNA". It matches the Rfam family "Bacterial small subunit ribosomal RNA", at positions 355 to 776 of the family's 1533-position model. Lineage: Bacteria; Bacillati; Actinomycetota; Actinomycetes. The record is from RNAcentral.
UAGGGAAUCUUCCGCAAUGGGCGAAAGCCUGACGGAGCAACGCCGCGUGAGUGAUGAAGGGCUUCGGAUCGUAAAACUCUGUUAUUAGGGAAGAACAAAUGUGUAAGUAACUAUGCACGUCUUGACGGUACCUAAUCAGAAAGCCACGGCUAACUACGUGCCAGCAGCCGCGGUAAUACGUAGGUGGCAAGCGUUAUCCGGAAUUAUUGGGCGUAAAGCGCGCGUAGGCGGUUUUUUAAGUCUGAUGUGAAAGCCCACGGCUCAACCGUGGAGGGUCAUUGGAAACUGGACAACUUGAGUGCAGAAGAGGAAAGUGGAAUUCCAUGUGUAGCGAUGAAAUGCGCAGAAAUAUGGAGGAACCCCAGUGGCGAAGGCGACUUUCUGGUCUGAAACUGACGCUGAUGUGCGAAAGCGUGGGGAUCAAACAGG